UACGUAGGGACCAAGCGUUGUUUGGAUUUACUGGGCGUAAAGGGCGCGUAGGCGGCGCGGUAAGUCACUUGUGAAAUCUCUGAGCUUAACUCAGAACGGCCAAGUGAUACUGCAGUGCUAGAGUGUGGAAGGGGCAAUCGGAAUUCUUGGUGUAGCGGUGAAAUGCGUAGAUAUUAGGAGGAACACCGGUGGCGAAGGCGCCGCUCUGGGCCGAAACUGACGCUGAGGAGCGAAAGCGUGGGUAGCAAACAGG
This 253-nucleotide ribosomal RNA is filed under the name uncultured bacterium. Its description in RNAcentral is "partial 16S ribosomal RNA". It matches the Rfam family "Bacterial small subunit ribosomal RNA", at positions 524 to 776 of the family's 1533-position model. The record is from RNAcentral.